GUUUUAUCAGAGUCCAUAUAGAUGUUCAAACAGCAACUAGAUGCAUACUUGCAAAAACAGAAUAUUGAAGGAUAUCAUUUUUCAAUGUAGGGUAAUAGCUGCUUGAUCCAAGGAUAAAUCUGACUGCCAUUCUGGGGUCAAGAAGGAAUUUUUUUCCUAAUUUGUUGCAAAAUUGGAAGUGUUUCAAACAGGGUUUUUUGCCUUCUUUUGGAUCAACAGCAAAAACAAAUUUGAGGAAGGCUGAACUUGAUGGACGCAAG
This is a non-coding RNA of Pelobates cultripes (western spadefoot toad), 260 nucleotides long. The record is from the annotation of a GenBank genome assembly. NCBI's taxonomy places the organism in Eukaryota, Metazoa, Chordata, Amphibia, Anura, Pelobatidae.